Molecule: microRNA precursor, 202 nt
Filed under: Oryza punctata
Lineage: Eukaryota; Viridiplantae; Streptophyta; Magnoliopsida; Poales; Poaceae
Description: MIR1435 microRNA precursor family
Rfam family: MIR1435 microRNA precursor family
Source: Rfam by way of RNAcentral
UGGGUUUGUCCUGAGUCAAACCUCUUCAAGUUUGACCAAUUUUAUAAAAAAAUAUAGCAAAAGAUUUCCAACACAAAAUAAAUAUAUUAUGAAAAUAUAUUGAAUGAUGGAUUUAGUGAAACUAAUUUGGUGUCGUAGAUGUUGGUAUAUUUUUCUAUAAACUUGGUCAAACUUGAAGAGGUUUGACUCAGGACAAACCCAA